Molecule: unclassified non-coding RNA, 261 nt
Filed under: plant metagenome
Description: partial contains small subunit ribosomal RNA, internal transcribed spacer 1, and 5.8S ribosomal RNA
Source: RNAcentral
UUUCCGUAGGUGAACCUGCGGAAGGAUCAUUAUUGUAUAACCGAGGUGCGAGGGCUGUCGCUGACCCGAAAGGUCGUGCACGCCCGAGUGCCCUCACACAUCCAUCUCACCCCUAUGUGAACCACCGCGUGGGUCCCCCUUUGGCUUGUUCGGAGGGGGGCUUACGUUUUCACACAAACUUUGUAUGCAGUGUAGAAUGUAUUUUUUGUUUUCGCGAUCACGCAAUCAAUACAACUUUCAACAACGGAUCUCUUGGCUCUC